GUACCUUCAAGCUCUGCUUGGUGUUGGGUGUUUGUCUGCGCCUCUGCGCGUAGACUCGCCUCAAAACAAUUGGCAGCCGGCGUAUUGAUUUCGGAGCGCAGUACAUCUCGCGCUUUGUGACUCAACCGCGGCGGCGUCCAGAAGUACAUUUUUUACAC
This 158-nucleotide unclassified non-coding RNA is filed under the name uncultured Phoma. Its description in RNAcentral is "sequence contains ITS2". The record is from RNAcentral. Lineage: Eukaryota; Fungi; Ascomycota.